GGUUCGAUCCUGGCUCAGAUUGAACGCUGGCGGAUGCUUUACAUGCAAGUCGAACGGCAGCACGGACUUCAGGUCUGGUGGCGAGUGGCGAACGGGUGAGUAAUGUAUCGGGUGAUGCCUAGUAAGCGGGGAACAACUACGCGAAAGCGUAGCUGUCUGCAUACGCCCUUCGGGGAAAGCGGGGGACCUUCGGGCCUCACUAUUAGAGCGGCGAUAUCGGAUUAGCUAGUUGGUGGUGGCUCGCAAGGCGACGAUCCGUAGCUGGUUUGAGAGGACGACCAGCCACACUGGGACGAGACACGGCCCAGACUCCUACAGGAGGCAGCAGUGGGGAAUUUUGGACAAUGGGGAAACCCUGAUCAGCCAUCCCGCGUGCGAUGAAGGCCUUCGGGUUGUAAAGCACUUUUGGCAGGAAAGAAACGGCACGGGAUAAUACCCCGUGCAACUGACGGUACCUGCAGAAUAAGCACCGGCUAACUACGUGCCAGCAGCCGCGGUAAUACGUAGGGUGCAAGCGUUAAUCGGAAUUACUGGGCGUAAAGCGUGCGCAGGCGGUUCCGGAAAGAAAGAUGUGGAAAUCCAGAGCUUAACUGGAACUGCAUUUUUAACUACAAAAUGAGGUGUGUGUCAGAGGAGGUGGAAUUCCGCGAUGUGGCGGUAGAAAUGCGACAAGAUAUACCGGAACACCGAUGGCGAAGGCAGCCUCACAGGAUAACACUGACGCUCAUGCACACAACGUGGGAGCAAACAAGUUAGAUACCCUGGUAAUUCACGCCCUAAGCUGAUGUCAACUAACUGUGCGAGGCCUUCAGACCCGCUGGUAGCGCAAUAACGGCAAAGUUGACCGCCUGAUGCAGUCGCAGAUUAAACUCAAAGGAAUUGACGGGGACCCGCACAAGCGGUGGAUGAUGUGGAUUAAUUCGAUGCAACGCGAAAAACCUUACUGCCCUUGACAUGUCUGGAAUCCCGAAGAUUUGGGAGUGCUCGCAAAACGGAACACAGGUGCUGCAUGGCUGUCGUCAGCUCGUGUCGUGAGAUGUUGGGUUAAGUCCCGCAACAGCGCAGCCCUUGUCGUGGGAUUUAUGCUGAAGGGCACUCUAAUGGGGACUGCCGGUGACAAACCGGAGGAAGGUGGGGAUGACGUCAAGUCCUCACUGGCCCUUAUGGGUAGGGCUUCACGUCAUACAAUGGUGGGACAGAGGGUCGCCAACCCAUGAGGGGAGCUAAUCCGAAACCCGAUCGUAGUCCGGAUCUCAGUCUGCCAACUCGACUGCGUGGAAGUCGGAAUCGCUAGUAAUGCGCGGAUCAGCAUGUCGCGGUGAAUACGUUCUUGGGUCUUGUACACACCGCCCGUCACACCAUAGAGGUGCAGGUUUUACCGAAGUAAUUCGCCUAACCGUACAGGAGGGCGAUUACACGGUAGGAUUCAUGACUGGGGGUGGAAGUCGUAACAAGGUAG
This 1459-nucleotide ribosomal RNA is filed under the name uncultured Bordetella sp. RNAcentral describes it as "partial 16S-23S ribosomal RNA intergenic spacer". It matches the Rfam family "Bacterial small subunit ribosomal RNA". Lineage: Bacteria; Pseudomonadati; Pseudomonadota; Betaproteobacteria; Burkholderiales; Alcaligenaceae. The record is from RNAcentral.